UCGGGAAUUUUGGGCAAUGGGCGAAAGCCUGACCCAGCAACGCCGCGUGAGGGAUGAAGUAUUUCGGUAUGUAAACCUCGAAAGAAUGGGAAGAAUAAAUGACGGUACCAUUUAUAAGCUCCGGCUAACUACGUGCCAGCAGCCGCGGUAAUACGUAGGGAGCAAGCGUUGUUCGGAUUUACUGGGCGUAAAGGGCGCGUAGGCGGCGCGGUAAGUCACCUGUGAAAUCUCUGAGCUUAACUCAGAACGGCCAAGUGAUACUGCUGUGAUAGAGUGCGGAAGAGGCAACCGGAAUUCUUGGUGUAGCGGUGAAAUGCGUAGAUAUCAAGAGGAACACCUGAGGCGAAGGCGGGUUGCUGGGCCGACACUGACGCUGAUGCGCGAAAGCCAGGGGAGCAAACG
RNAcentral lists this ribosomal RNA (402 nucleotides) under uncultured bacterium. RNAcentral describes it as "bacterial SSU rRNA". It matches the Rfam family "Bacterial small subunit ribosomal RNA", at positions 355 to 774 of the family's 1533-position model. The record is from RNAcentral.